UGGGGAAUAUUGCACAAUGGGGGAAACCCUGAUGCAGCCAUGCCGCGUGUGUGAAGAAGGCCUUCGGGUUGUAAAGCACUUUCAGCGAGGAGGAAAGGUUGGUCGCUAAUAACGGCCAACUGUGACGUUACUCGCAGAAGAAGCACCGGCUAACUCCGUGCCAGCAGCCGCGGUAAUACGGAGGGUGCAAGCGUUAAUCGGAAUUACUGGGCGUAAAGCGCACGCAGGCGGUUUGUUAAGUCAGAUGUGAAAUCCCCGGGCUCAACCUGGGAACUGCAUUUGAAACUGGCAAGCUUGAGUCUUGUAGAGGGGGGUAGAAUUCCAGGUGUAGCGGUGAAAUGCGUAGAGAUCUGGAGGAAUACCGGUGGCGAAGGCGGCCCCCUGGACAAAGACUGACGCUCAGGUGCGAAAGCGUGGGGAGCAAACA
This 427-nucleotide ribosomal RNA is filed under the name uncultured bacterium. Its description in RNAcentral is "bacterial SSU rRNA". It matches the Rfam family "Bacterial small subunit ribosomal RNA", at positions 355 to 774 of the family's 1533-position model. The record is from RNAcentral.